RNAcentral lists this long non-coding RNA (858 nucleotides) under Rhinopithecus bieti (black snub-nosed monkey). RNAcentral describes it as "lncRNA (ENSRBIG00000046187.1)". The record is from RNAcentral. Lineage: Eukaryota; Metazoa; Chordata; Mammalia; Primates; Cercopithecidae.
UCAUAAUCGUCUGUCUCCCUCACUGGAUUGUAAAUGCCUCAGGAGCAGGGAUAGCCUCUGACUUACCUUUGCAUUCCUACCCCAAGGAUAUGGCACACAGUAGCUGUCAAAUGUCUCCUGGAUGGCUCAUGGGUGAAGAACUUCGAACAGAACAGAACAGAACAGAACAGAACGAGGGCAGGGAUUUUUCACUCCCUCCCUCUGCCCCGCCCGCAACUGCCUGCGUUUUCGUAGCCCUAGAACUUCGAAAGUACAGUGCGGAAAAGCAAAGAAACACAUAGAGACCCAUGCACAGAAGGAUGAUACACUGCGGUUCCCCAACGUGGGCCUGCAGCAAGAGACAGGUGCUAACAGCAUCCGAGCCAAUCUGUAAGCAUCAGGGGGAUGAAGGAAUCAUGAACAAGAGGCAGAACCGCAACUGCUCCAAUGCAGAAAGAAUGAGUCAUCCAGGAAGGCAAGGUGCGGGCCUCCCUGCUUUGUCAUCACACCUUGGAUCACUCCGGGCAAUCUCACCCGUGUGGCUUCGCCUGGGUCCAGCCAGACCUCUGCUCAGCUCUGCACAUACACGCUCCCUGGAUGUCACCUCCUGACUUGGUGCUUAUCACACAUGCAGUCAAUGAACGCCUCACGAAUGCAUGGUUUACAUAGUCUUUGAUAAAGGCAUCUAUUGCUGGAUGUUUCACAUACAGUCUUUGAUGAACACAUCUAUCGCAUCCAGCAAUAUAUCUGUAUUGAAAAAGUCCUUCCAUAGCAUCCAGUAAUGAAAAGGAAGGUGGCAGGGAGCAGUAAUGGACAGUAAAACUAAAAACACCAUGAAGAUCCACAGUGAGAUCAGCAGAACCCUAGGAUGGCAAAUCC